ACGUAGGUGACGAGCGUUGUUCGGAAUUAUUGGGCGUAAAGGGUUCGUAGGAGGUUUAUUAAGAUUGGUGUGAAAUCCCAAGGCUCAACCUUGGAACUGCAUUGAUUACUGAUGAACUAGAGUGUCGUAGAGGAAAGCGGAAUUCCAGGUGUAGCGGUUUAUUGCGUAGAUAUCUGGAAGAACACCGACAGCGAGGGCAGCUUUCUGGGUUAUAACUCACUCUGAGGUACGAAAGCAAGGGCAACAAACAU
RNAcentral lists this ribosomal RNA (251 nucleotides) under uncultured prokaryote. RNAcentral's name for it is "partial 16S rRNA". It matches the Rfam family "Bacterial small subunit ribosomal RNA", at positions 525 to 775 of the family's 1533-position model. The record is from RNAcentral.